RNAcentral lists this ribosomal RNA (468 nucleotides) under uncultured bacterium. Its description in RNAcentral is "partial 16S ribosomal RNA". It matches the Rfam family "Bacterial small subunit ribosomal RNA", at positions 28 to 507 of the family's 1533-position model. The record is from RNAcentral.
GACGAACGCUGGCGGCGUGCUUAACACAUGCAAGUCGAACGGAAAGGCCCUGCUUUUGUUGGUUGCUCGAUUGGCGAACGGGUGAGUAACACGUGAGUAACCUGCCCUUGACUUUGGGAUAACUUCAGGAAACUGGGGCUAAUACCGGAUAGGAGCUCCUGCUGCAUGGUGGGGGUUGGAAAGUUUCGGCGGUUGGGGAUGGACUCGCGGCUUAUCAGCUUGUUGGUGGGGUAGUGGCUUACCAAGGGUUUGACGGGUAGCCGGCCUGGGAGGGUGACCGGCGACAUGGGGACUGAGAGACGGACCAGACUCCUACGGGAGGCAGCAGGGGGGAAUAUUGCACAAUGGCCGGAAGCCUGAUGCAGAAACGCCGCGUGCGGGAUGCCGGCCUUCGGGUUGUAAACCGAUUUCGACUGUGACGAAGCGUGAGUGACGGUAAUGGGUAAAGAAGCACCGGCUAACUACGUG